RNAcentral lists this ribosomal RNA (700 nucleotides) under uncultured bacterium. RNAcentral describes it as "bacterial SSU rRNA". It matches the Rfam family "Bacterial small subunit ribosomal RNA", at positions 8 to 720 of the family's 1533-position model. The record is from RNAcentral.
AGAGUUUGAUCAUGGCUCAGGACGAACGCUGGCGGCGUGCUUAACACAUGCAAGUCAAGGGGGCCCGCAAGGGUAACCGGCGAACGGGUGCGUAACACGUGAGCAAUCUGCCUAGAUGUGGGGGAUAGCCGGCCCAACGGCCGGGUAAUACCGCAUACGCUCACCGGGUGGCAUCACUUGGUGAGGAAACAUUCGUGGCAUCUAGAGGAGCUCGCGGCCUAUCAGCUAGUUGGUGGGGUAACGGCCUACCAAGGCAUUGACGGGUAGCUGGUCUGAGAGGAUGGCCAGCCACAUUGGGACUGAGAUACGGCCCAGACUCCUACGGGAGGCAGCAGUGGGGAAUAUUGCGCAAUGGCCGAAAGGCUGACGCAGCGACGCCGCGUGGGGGAUGAAGCAUUUCGGUGUGUAAACCCCUGUUGCUCGGGACGAACAACUGGUUUCGACCAGUCUGACGGUACCGGGUGAGGAAGCACCGGCUAACUCCGUGCCAGCAGCCGCGGUAAUACGGAGGGUGCGAGCGUUGUCCGGAAUCACUGGGCGUAAAGGGCGCGUAGGCGGUCUGUUAAGCGUGUGGUGAAAGCUCGGGGCUCAACCCCGAGUCUGCCAUGCGAACUGGUGGACUUGAGCACUGUAGAGGCAGGUGGAAUUCCGGGUGUAGCGGUGGAAUGCGUAGAGAUCCGGAAGAACACCGGUGGCGAAG